UAGGGAAUCUUCCGCAAUGGACGCAAGUCUGACGGAGCAACGCCGCGUGAGUGAUGAAGGUUUUCGGAUCGUAAAGCUCUGUUGCCCUAGACGAACAGCGAGGGGAGUAACUGCCCUUCGUGUGACGGUAUAGGAGAAGAAAGCCCCGGCUAACUACGUGCCAGCAGCCGCGGUAAUACGUAGGGGGCAAGCGUUGUCCGGAAUUAUUGGGCGUAAAGCGCGCGCAGGCGGUUCGGUAAGUCUGAUGGUAAAGCCCGGGGCUCAACCCCGGUAUGCAUUGGAAACUGCCGGGCUGGAGUGCAGGAGAGGGAAGUGGAAUUCCACGUGUAGCGGUGAAAUGCGUAGAGAUGUGGAGGAACACCAGUGGCGAAGGCGACUUCCUGGCCUGUAACUGACGCUGAGGCGCGAAAGCGUGGGGAGCAAACA
Molecule: ribosomal RNA, 426 nt
Filed under: uncultured Paenibacillus sp.
Lineage: Bacteria; Bacillati; Bacillota; Bacilli; Caryophanales; Paenibacillaceae
Description: bacterial SSU rRNA
Rfam family: Bacterial small subunit ribosomal RNA
Source: RNAcentral